Molecule: unclassified non-coding RNA, 456 nt
Filed under: uncultured Glomus
Lineage: Eukaryota; Fungi; Glomeromycota; Glomeromycetes; Glomerales; Glomeraceae
Description: SSU rRNA
Rfam family: Eukaryotic small subunit ribosomal RNA
Source: RNAcentral
AGCAGCCGCGGUAAUUCCAGCUCCAAUAGCGUAUAUUAAAGUUGUUGCAGUUAAAAAGCUCGUAGUUGAAUUUCGGGAUUGGCGCAUCGGUCGUGCCUCACGGGGUAUGAACUGGUGCAGUCAAUUUCUCACCUUCUGGAGAACCGCGAUGUCCUUAAUUGGAUGCCGCGGGGAACCAGGACCUUUACUUUGAAAAAUUAGAGUGUUUAAAGCAGGCAUUUUUGCUUGAAUACAUUAGCAUGGAAUAAUAAAAUAGGACGGCAUGGUUCUAUUUUGUUGGUUUCUAGGACCACCGUAAUGAUUAAUAGGGAUAGUUGGGGGCAUUAGUAUUCAAUUGUCAGAGGUGAAAUUCUUGGAUUUAUUGAAGACUAACUACUGCGAAAGCAUUUGCCAAGGAUGUUUUCAUUAAUCAAGAACGAAAGUUAGGGGAUCGAAGACGAUCAGAUACCGUCGUAG